Molecule: long non-coding RNA, 880 nt
Organism: Ipomoea nil (Japanese morning glory)
Lineage: Eukaryota; Viridiplantae; Streptophyta; Magnoliopsida; Solanales; Convolvulaceae
Exons: 3
Source: RefSeq, a predicted model, not a curated record
UAUACAUUGUCGGAUGGUCUGUUUAGCAGAAGAUUAAAUUGAUAAGAGAGCCUACAAGAGACUUGCCAGCCGUCGGGGACUUGACUCUCGGUGAAUUGCUCAAGUACAAAUCCCAGGAAGGUGUUCGGGUUCUGUUAUUAGUUUGGGAUGACAAGACCUCUCACGACAAGUUCUUCAUUAACAAGGCAGGAAUAAUGGCGACCCACAAUGAGGAGACCAAGAAGUUUUUUAAACACUCAUCUGUGAUUUGUGUUCUGUCACCUCGUUAUGCCAGCAGUAAGCAUAGCUUUAUUAAGCAGCAAAUUGUUGGAACCAUGUUCACACACCACCAGAAGUGUGUGCUUGUGGAUACACAGGGUGAUGGUAAUAAUCGAAAAAUUACAGCUUUCUUGGGUGGUCUUGAUCUCUGUGACGGUCGCUAUGAUACACCUGAACACCGUCUAUUUCAUGAUCCAAGUCGUAUUAAUUUUCAUUUGGACUCAAGAAAGGCAAGUUUUGCUAAUGUGGAUCCCUCCAUGUAUUCUAGUGAAUUUUAUUUGACAACUUCACACGUACACUGCAGGAAGUAGAAACAACUCCUGCGUAUCCAGAUAUAUGUUUUGUCGUUGAUGAUUUUGAUUCUACUUUUGAUGCAGUGGUAAUGCAUUGGUUCUCUUCUUUAGUAUUUUGAAAUGCUAUCUUCUCCUUUUUUCUAGCUUUGGACUCUGGCAGAUUUAAUAAGAUAAAGAGGAAUGCUUAACCAUAGUUGCAGAAAUGGUGGUACUUGGUAGAAUUACUUGUUACACUUGUUGCUGUUCAUAGAUGCAUUCAAGCUUUAGCAUGCUGUUCAAACUCACUUUGAUGAGGCUGUUUCCCCAAUUGCAUAUAUUUAUGUGUCCCA